AAUGGGCGAAAGCCUGACGGAGCAACGCCGCGUGAGGGAUGAAGGCCUCUGGGCUGUAAACCUCUUUUAUCAAGGAAGAAGAUCUGACGGUACUUGAUGAAUAAGCCACGGCUAAUUCCGUGCCAGCAGCCGCGGUAAUACGGGAGUGGCAAGCGUUAUCCGGAAUUAUUGGGCGUAAAGCGUCCGCAGGCGGCCCUUCAAGUCUGCUGUUAAAAAGUGGAGCUUAACUCCAUCGUGGCAGUGGAAACUGUUGGGCUUGAGUGUGGUAGGGGCAGAGGGAAUUCCCGGUGUAGCGGUGAAAUGCGUAGAUAUCGGGAAGAACACCAGUGGCGAAGGCGCUCUGCUGGGCCAUCACUGACGCUCAUGGACGAAAGCCAGGGGAGCGAAAGGGAUU
This 394-nucleotide ribosomal RNA is filed under the name uncultured Gammaproteobacteria bacterium. RNAcentral's name for it is "bacterial SSU rRNA". It matches the Rfam family "Bacterial small subunit ribosomal RNA", at positions 370 to 779 of the family's 1533-position model. Lineage: Bacteria; Pseudomonadati; Pseudomonadota; Gammaproteobacteria. The record is from RNAcentral.